UCUGUAACUGACGCUGAGGAGCGAAAGCGUGGGGAGCGAACAGGAUUAGAUACCCUGGUAGUCCACGCCGUAAACGAUGAGUGCUAAGUGUUAGGGGGUUUCCGCCCCUUAGUGCUGCAGCUAACGCAUUAAGCACUCCGCCUGGGGAGUACGGUCGCAAGACUGAAACUCAAAGGAAUUGACGGGGGCCCGCACAAGCGGUGGAGCAUGUGGUUUAAUUCGAAGCAACGCGAAGAACCUUACCAGGUCUUGACAUCCUCUGACAAUCCUAGAGAUAGGACGUCCCCUUCGGGGGCAGAGUGACAGGUGGUGCAUGGUUGUCGUCAGCUCGUGUCGUGAGAUGUUGGGUUAAGUCCCGCAACGAGCGCAACCCUUGAUCUUAGUUGCCAGCAUUCAGUUGGGCACUCUAAGGUGACUGCCGGUGACAAACCGGAGGAAGGUGGGGAUGACGUCAAAUCAUCAUGCCCCUUAUGACCUGGGCUACACACGUGCUACAAUGGGCAGAACAAAGGGCAGCGAAACCGCGAGGUUAAGCCAAUCCCACAAAUCUGUUCUCAGUUCGGAUCGCAGUCUGCAACUCGACUGCGUGAAGCUGGAAUCGCUAGUAAUC
Molecule: ribosomal RNA, 610 nt
Filed under: Bacillus sp. 1B.12C
Lineage: Bacteria; Bacillati; Bacillota; Bacilli; Caryophanales; Bacillaceae
Description: bacterial SSU rRNA
Rfam family: Bacterial small subunit ribosomal RNA
Source: RNAcentral